UAGGGAAUCUUCGGCAAUGGGGGCAACCCUGACCGAGCAACGCCGCGUGAGUGAAGAAGGUUUUCGGAUCGUAAAGCUCUGUUGUAAGAGAAGAACGUGUGUGAGAGUGGAAAGUUCACACAGUGACGGUAACUUACCAGAAAGGGACGGCUAACUACGUGCCAGCAGCCGCGGUAAUACGUAGGUCCCGAGCGUUGUCCGGAUUUAUUGGGCGUAAAGCGAGCGCAGGCGGUUUAAUAAGUCUGAAGUUAAAGGCAGUGGCUUAACCAUUGUUCGCUUUGGAAACUGUUAAACUUGAGUGCAGAAGGGGAGAGUGGAAUUCCAUGUGUAGCGGUGAAAUGCGUAGAUAUAUGGAGGAACACCGGUGGCGAAAGCGGAUCUCUGGUCUGUAACUGACGCUGAGGCUCGAAAGCGUGGGGAGCAAACAGG
Molecule: ribosomal RNA, 429 nt
Filed under: bacterium
Lineage: Bacteria
Description: partial 16S ribosomal RNA
Rfam family: Bacterial small subunit ribosomal RNA
Source: RNAcentral